UUUUAACGGAGAGUUUGAUUCUGGCUCAGAACGAACGCUGGCGGCGUGGAUAAGACAUGCAAGUCGAGCGAGAUUUUUUCUUGUAGCAAUACAGGGAAAAGUCUAGCGGCGAACGGGUGCUUAACACGUGGGCAAUCUGUCUUAAAGUGGGGGAUAGCUCGGCGAAAGCCGAA
This 173-nucleotide ribosomal RNA is filed under the name Verrucomicrobiota bacterium. RNAcentral's name for it is "Verrucomicrobia bacterium partial 16S ribosomal RNA". It matches the Rfam family "Bacterial small subunit ribosomal RNA", at positions 1 to 162 of the family's 1533-position model. Lineage: Bacteria; Pseudomonadati; Verrucomicrobiota. The record is from RNAcentral.